GUCAAAGUUGAAAUUAGUACAAAACAUUGGACCAGCAUGAAGAAGGAGCAAUGUAAAAGAUGGGAAGAGCGACAAAGCACAGACCUCUGCAGAGGAAGCAAGAAUGUAUUUUCACCCCCUGGAGAAGAGACCUCUGCAGUUGGUAGAGAGUCUCUUGGAGGAUAGCGUACUGGAGGACUUCCUGGUUGACUGUGAAAGCUUGAUCACUUCUGCCAAUUACAAAGACAGUUGAGGAGAGAUCUAUUGUGAAGCUGUGUGGCUAUCCUGUCUGUUCAAAUAAACUGGGCUAGGUCCCCACUCAACAGUUAAACAUUUCCACCAACACCAAUAAAGUCAAUGACAUUACAGAACGCAAGGUCAGUGUACAGAAUCAGAUAUUCUGUUGUGUUAUGACCAGCACCAUUUAAGAACGUGACUGAUGUAAGACUGAAACAAUGCCCUUUUCGUCUCUGACCUAGUCCUUCUGCAGUAAUUCUGCUACAAAGCCUCCAAGUCAUUUGAGCUGCAGAUUUCAAAGAGCCAUCUAUGAUUGAGGCAGCACGAGAGAUGUAAACUUAAUGAAUAAAGGAGAUUGCGGUAGCACUGGAGAGGAGGAGAGGCUGACUGAGGUGUUUCAGAGAGGAGGAUGUGAGGAACCUUCCCCUGUACUCUGUGGCCCCAGAGAACCCCAGAUGAUCCCGUACAGCCGGUCACAGCGACACAGAACAGCACUUUGUUUCCAGCGUAGUCUCCCAGCAACAGUUACCCAGGGUGCACUGGGGCAGUCUGCCCAAGCACACCAACGAAGGUGAGGGGGGGAGGGGAGGGAACGAGAAGAGGGAGAGAAGGUCGGGAGGGAAGGACACAAAGAUGCCAAAACAAACAAACAAGGCUGAAGACAAGAAAGAGGAGAAUACAGAAGAAUCACAGAAAGAACCAACAAAGACAAUCAAUGACAUAGGUGGACCCCAACAACACACAACAGGUACAAACCACCCCAGUGAGCAGUAGCCUUUCCUGGAAGAGAGAGGCUCACCAGAGGGCCGGUCUAUGGAGGAUGCCGCAGCACUACUGAGCCAAGUCACAAUGCAGGAUAGAGAUCCAGUCACGGUUACAUCUUCUGUACUAACAACCGUCAACACAGUGCGUGUACAGAAUCAAGAUCCAGCUCCAACUCCCAACCCUCAGUGGGACUCAACCCCAGCACAGCCCACCCAGCCGGGCCUCAGGAUCACCCAGGUGGGCAUGAGCAGGAGGGGGGCCCAGGGGCUCCUCAAGGGCCACGAAACUACUCCAAAACCUGGCUCGGUCUGACUGAACCUUCUAGAAGUCCUAUGGAGUUCCUUCGACGAAUGGUGGACUGAGGAGACUAUGAAGUUCCUAUAUGGCCCAGACCACUUUAAUAAAACAACAGUAGAAACGAAGAAGAAAAAGGAGGAGGAGGAAGAAGAACUGGAUGAAGAUAAGCUGGAGGAUGUUGUAGAAGGGGUUGGGGAUGGAGGGGACGGCGGGUCCCCAGAGGGUCAGGGAGUUCUACAAAGGGGAGCCCACUGGGUGUCAGGGAAAUGGGCCCUGAGACUCAGAGGUGAGUGGGGGAUAAGUGUAGUGUAGUAACCGUCAGUGUCCAGAUGGGGGCACUAUGUAUAAGCAUUGGAGAUGUUAAGUGUGAUGAUGAUGAUGGUCUUGUUUUUGAGGUUGGCUUUUACCAUGAAUAUGUUUUUUUGUCUCACUUCACUUCUUUCCCUCACUCUGUGUCUCCUCUCCUUUCCCAUCUAUGCUCUCUCUCCUUUCACACUCUUUCUCCUGUUUCACGCUCUUUCUCUCAUGCUCUCUCUCCACCCCACCCCCCCACCCAGGACCAGGGUGGUUGGUUGAUUCCCAUGCCUAGCACCUCAUACAGAAACACAUAAUGGUUGAGAAGCUCACUAGAGGGUGUGUGUGUCUGUAUGAAAAUGCUGCUACGGUUUUCAAAGUUCAAAAAACUGUUUUAUGCAAUGGAAAUGUGGUCACUGAUGUGCUGAUAGUUGACAACCAGCAAUAUUACAGAAGCAUUGGUAAGUACUAGCUCGGUCUUGUUGAACUUCGCAUCUCAGCAACUUAAGAAAUUAAAUCAAGUUCUGUGUAUAUGUGUGUGUAUUUAUAUGUCCGGUUUUCCUCAUCUGGGGAAACGUCUCACCAUGACUGACAUCUCCAGUGACCACAUCAGCCUGGUCAGGACCUUCAGGUCAGUGCCAAUGUCAACUCUGAGAGUUAAAGGGCCAAUCCUUAAUUGAAACAAUAAAAAAUGCCUCCCCACCUCUGUUUUGGUAAAAAGCUGAAGGAUGGGCCUGGAGAAAUGUAACUCUUCUCAAAUUCAUAGACAGAGCUAUGGAUGCAAGGCCUGAGCGUCCUAGAUUAGAGUUUCAAGCAUGUUUUGAGGCAAUACAGUGUUUGUUUAUAUUUGAAAUCUAAUUGUAUUGGUCGCAUACACAUAUUUAGCAGAUGCUACUGAAGAUGUAGCUAAAUGCUUGUUUACUAACAUUGGAGUGAAACAAGCUUAUAUUUUGGGUUCUGAUGGGGUAUGACAUUUGAACUUAGCUAAUAAAGCAAUUUCUAAGUUAUAUUCUUCAAGAAUCAAUGGGUAUGUAUCAUUAAUUUAUAAGUACAAAAAUGGAUGUAUUACACCGCAGACUGCUGUUUUAACACACCAUUUCCUACUACAGUGUCCAAUACUGUCUGGGAGAGAAACUGG
Molecule: long non-coding RNA, 2710 nt
Organism: Oncorhynchus tshawytscha (Chinook salmon)
Lineage: Eukaryota; Metazoa; Chordata; Actinopteri; Salmoniformes; Salmonidae
Source: Ensembl